CCCUUAGAUGUUCUGGGCCGCACGCGCGCUACACUGAUUCAUGCAACAAGUUUUGUCCUUGGCUGAUAGGCCUGGGUAAUCUUUGAACGUGAAUCGUGAUGGGGAUAGAUGAUUGCAAUUAUUCAUCUUCAACGAGGAAUUCCUAGUAAACGCAAGUCAUCAGCUUGCAUUGAUUACGUCCCUGCCCUUUGUACACACCGCCCGUCGCACCUACCGAUUGAAUGGUCCGGUGAAAUCUUCGGAUCUGAGAGAUGUCUGAUUAAUUUCGGACGCCUUUUGGAAAAGUUGUUUAAACCUCACCAUUUAGAGGAAGGUGAAGUCGUAACA
RNAcentral lists this ribosomal RNA (327 nucleotides) under uncultured eukaryote. RNAcentral's name for it is "partial 18S ribosomal RNA". It matches the Rfam family "Eukaryotic small subunit ribosomal RNA", at positions 1470 to 1796 of the family's 1831-position model. The record is from RNAcentral.